RNAcentral lists this transfer RNA (70 nucleotides) under Marmota monax (woodchuck). Its description in RNAcentral is "tRNA.Thr". Lineage: Eukaryota; Metazoa; Chordata; Mammalia; Rodentia; Sciuridae. The record is from RNAcentral.
GGGAUUGUGGCUCAGUGGUAGAGUGCUCAUCUAGUAUGUGCGGAACCUGGGUUCGAUCCUCAGCAUCACA